AGAUGGCUGCUAAAUGGGGCAAGGAGGCGGUGGGGGGCAAGAUGGUGGUAGGUAAAAUGGCUGCCAUGGGGGCAAGAUGGCUGCCUUGGGGGCAAGGUGGGGGGGCAAGAUGGCUGCUGUGGGGCAAGAUGGCUGCCAUGGGGCGAGGUGGUGGGGGGGCAAGAUGGCCGCCACUGGCAAGGUGGGGCCCAAGAUGGCGGCCGUGGGGCUGUGUGGGGCCGCGGGCGCUGAGCCGUGCCCCCCCAGGAGCGAGGCGGACAUGACGGCCUGGAUCUCCCGCCUCAACCUGGCGGCCGCCCUGCUCUCCUCGCCGCCGUUCCCCGCCGCCGUCGGCUCCCAGCGCCGCUUCGCGCGGCCCAUCCUGCCGGCUGCGCCCAGCCGCUGCUCGCCGGUGAGUGGGGGGGCGGGGGGACGGCAUGGGGUCACUAUGGGGACAGCAUGGGGACAUUAUGGGGACGCUUUGGGAUCACUAUGGGGUCACCAUUUAGACAACCAUGGGGACUCUGUGGGGACUCUAUGGGUCACUAUGGGGACUGUAUGGGGAUACCAAGGGGACUCUAUGGGGCCACUAUGGGGACACCAUGGGGAUGCUUUGAGGACUCUAUGGGGACGCUAUGGGGCCAAUAUGGGGUCGCUAUGGGGUCACCAUGUAGACAACCAUAGGGAUUCUAUGGGGACUCUAUGGGGCCACUAUGGGGACACCAUGGGGAUGCUUUGAGGACUCUAUAGGGGUGAUAUGGGGCCAAUAUGGGGACGCUAUGGGGAUACCAAGGGGAGUCUAUGGGGACAAUAUGGGGAUACUUUGAGGACUCUAUGGGGAUGCUAUGGGGCCACUAUGGGGUCACCAUAUAGACAACCAUGGGAACUCUAUGGGGCCACUAUGGGGACACCAUGGGGAUGCUUUGAGGACUCUCUGGGGGUGCUGUAGGGCCAAUAUGGGGUCGCUAUGGGGACUCUAUGGGGAUGCUUUGAGGAGUCUAUGGGGGUGAUAUGGGGCCAAUA
RNAcentral lists this long non-coding RNA (1002 nucleotides) under Phasianus colchicus (ring-necked pheasant). RNAcentral describes it as "lncRNA (ENSPCLG00000015524.1)". The record is from RNAcentral. Lineage: Eukaryota; Metazoa; Chordata; Aves; Galliformes; Phasianidae.